AGAGUUUGAUCCUGGCUCAGGACGAACGCUGGCGGCGUGCUUAACACAUGCAAGUCGAACGAUGAAGCGCCAGCUUGCUGGUGUGGAUUUGUGGCGAACGGGUGAGUAACACGUGAGUAACCUGCCCCCUACUCUGGGAUAAGCCUGGGAAACUGGGUCUAAUACUGGAUAUGACCAAUCACUGCAUGGUGUGUUGGUGGAAAGAUUUUUUGGUGGGGGAUGGACUCGCGGCCUAUCAGCUUGUUGGUGGGGUAAUGGCCUACCAAGGCGACGACGGGUAGCCGGCCUGAGAGGGCGACCGGCCACACUGGGACUGAGACACGGCCCAGACUCCUACGGGAGGCAGCAGUGGGGAAUAUUGCACAAUGGGCGAAAGCCUGAUGCAGCGACGCCGCGUGAGGGAUGACGGCCUUCGGGUUGUAAACCUCUUUCACCAGGGACGAAGCUAACGUGACGGUACCUGGAGAAGAAGCACCGGCUAACUACGUGCCAGCAGCCGCGGUAAUAC
This 508-nucleotide ribosomal RNA is filed under the name uncultured bacterium. Its description in RNAcentral is "bacterial SSU rRNA". It matches the Rfam family "Bacterial small subunit ribosomal RNA", at positions 8 to 526 of the family's 1533-position model. The record is from RNAcentral.